RNAcentral lists this ribosomal RNA (1475 nucleotides) under metagenome. RNAcentral describes it as "bacterial SSU rRNA". It matches the Rfam family "Bacterial small subunit ribosomal RNA". The record is from RNAcentral.
AGAGUUUGAUCCUGGCUCAGGAUGAACGCUAGCGGCAGGCCUAACACAUGCAAGUCGAGGGGUAUAUAGUGCUUGCAUUAUAGAGACCGGCGCACGGGUGCGUAACGCGUAUGCAACCUACCUAUUACAGGGGAAUAGCCCGAAGAAAUUCGGAUUAAUGCCCCAUGGUAUUGAGAGAUAUCCUUAUCUUUUAAUUAAAGAUUUAUCGGUAAUAGAUGGGCAUGCGUCCUAUUAGCUAGUUGGUGUGGUAACGGCAUACCAAGGCAACGAUAGGUAGGGGCCCUGAGAGGGGGAUCCCCCACACUGGUACUGAGACACGGACCAGACUCCUACGGGAGGCAGCAGUGAGGAAUAUUGGACAAUGGAGGGAACUCUGAUCCAGCCAUGCCGCGUGUAGGAAGACAGCCCUAUGGGUUUUAAACUACUUUUAUACAGGAAGAAUAAGAACUACGUGUAGUUUGAUGACGGUACUGUAAGAAUAAGGACCGGCUAACUCCGUGCCAGCAGCCGCGGUAAUACGGAGGGUCCGAGCGUUAUCCGGAAUUAUUGGGUUUAAAGGGUCCGUAGGCGGAUUAAUAAGUCAGGGGUGAAAGUUUGCAGCUCAACUGUAAAAUUGCCUUUGAUACUGUUAGUCUUGAAUUACUAUGAAGUGGUUAGAAUGUGUAGUGUAGCGGUGAAAUGCAUAGAUAUUACACAGAAUACCGAUUGCGAAGGCAGAUCACUAAUAGUACAUUGACGCUGAUGGACGAAAGUGUGGGGAGCGAACAGGAUUAGAUACCCUGGUAGUCCACGCCGUAAACGAUGGUUACUAGCUGUUCGGUCGCAAGACUGAGUGGUUAAGCGAAAGUGAUAAGUAACCCACCUGGGGAGUACGUUCGCAAGAAUGAAACUCAAAGGAAUUGACGGGGGCCCGCAUAAGCGGUGGAGCAUGUGGUUUAAUUCGAUGAUACGCGAGGAACCUUACCAGGGCUUAAAUGUGUCUGACAGCUUUAGAGAUAGGGUUUCCUUCGGGCAGAUCACAAGGUGCUGCAUGGUUGUCGUCAGCUCGUGCCGUGAGGUGUCAGGUUAAGUCCUAUAACGAGCGCAACCCCUUCCGUUAGUUGCCAGCAUGUCAAGAUGGGGACUCUAACGGGACUGCCGGUGCAAACCGUGAGGAAGGUGGGGAUGACGUCAAAUCAUCACGGCCCUUACGUCCUGGGCUACACACGUGCUACAAUGGCCGGUACAGAGGGCAGCUACCAUGCGAAUGGAUGCGAAUCUUAAAAACCGGUCACAGUUCGGAUCGGAGUCUGCAACUCGACUCCGUGAAGCUGGAGUCGCUAGUAAUCGGAUAUCAGCCAUGAUCCGGUGAAUACGUUCCCGGGCCUUGUACACACCGCCCGUCAAGCCAUGGAAGCCGGGGGUACCUGAAGUUGGUGACCGCAAGGAGCUACCUAGGGUAAAACUGGUAACUAGGGCUAAGUCGUAACAAGGUA